Callithrix jacchus (white-tufted-ear marmoset) is the source of this 1383-nucleotide long non-coding RNA. RefSeq lists it as uncharacterized. NCBI's taxonomy places the organism in Eukaryota, Metazoa, Chordata, Mammalia, Primates, Cebidae. The record is from RefSeq and is a predicted model, not a curated record.
UAAGAUGCUCAUGAAAUGCAGGUAGAAAGGUCAAUAGGCAGUUCUGGACCCAGGGAGGGAGCCAGGCUAGUAGACACACACAUUUGACAAUCAUCGGCAUUUGGAUGGUGUUGAAAGCCACACGGUCAGAUGAUUCUUUAAGGAGAGGGGAUAGAUAAGGAGGGGAUGAAGGCUGGCCCCUCUAGGAAGCGGCCAGAGAGCCGAGGAGGGAGCUGUGAAGGUGCUGAGAAGCAGCGGCCAGCAAGGCGGGAGGAAAACAUGGGGAAUGGGACGGGCUGGGGCCACAUCAAGUAAGAACUCAGCCUGCCUCGUACUCCUCCCAACUCACCAGGGGAAGGGGAGGAGGAAAAGAAGCAGGUGGCUCCACCGCACUGGAUUUUCUCCAGCAGCACUGAUACUGUCCGAGGUGUGAGCGCAAACCCAAGCACCUGAUUGACCCAGAGCGGAACUGAAGAUCCUACUAAUACAAAGGGAUGGAGGCCAACCUGGAUUUACAGAUGAGGCUCUUUCAAAGAGCCAAUGCCUGACAGAGCUCCAGCUGAAGAAAAUGGUUCCUGAAGCCCUGGGGCUUUCAACAUCCCAGAGGCCUUAAGUGAAACCUGUCAAUAACAACUGUCUAUGUUGUAUGCAAAUGAUGAUCGCCAGAGGAUACUGUUUUGACCUGUCAUACUGAAAAAGACCCAGCAAAAAAGGUAGGGCUAGUGUGGGGUCAUCUCUGGGUGAAAUGGAUAUCAUGUACUGCUGCUAGAAGAAUCAGUUGGCUCACUUUCUAAAAGAGCAUUUUGUGCUAGGUACUAAAAUCCUAGAAAUGUACCUAUUUUUGACCUAAGAAUUCUGAUGUUCAGGUCUAGUAUAGGCUGCCCAAGAGGGACCUGUAGAAUAAAUUACCAAGUUAAAAGAACCCAUUUACAUAACGUUAAGAAGAAUACCUAAGUUGAGAGUAUUUGUGCCAUUUUCACCACAAUUCUAGUUCUAUGUUGGAGGGAUCUGGCAAGCACUACCCCUUAUUAUUAUAGCAAAAAUAAUUGCUUUUGUAUUUUUGGCUUGCACUUUGUGUAGUAAAUGUACCCUGGAAAAGAUAUACAUUGCAAUCAAAUGAAUAAACCGCACCCACCUCACCUCCACUGACUAUAUGCUCCUCAAGGGCCAGGAUUUAUAUUUGUUUUGUUUACUAUUUUGUCCCUAUUACCUGGAUCAGUGACUGCAAUAAAUACUUGUUGAAUGAACUAAUGAAUAAGCAUCUAAUGACGGGAAAGAAAAGAAAAUCACUCCUGCACUUCCUUUUUCCUGUGAGUGUUAUGGCUAUAAAAUACUAUAAAGAUGAGUGCUUUAUACAUUUUAACUCAUAAUACGUUUUAACUCAUACGUAAGUGUAUGGCUUAA